AACGAACGCUGGCGGCAGGCUUAACACAUGCAAGUCGAACGGGUGUAGCAAUACAUCAGUGGCAGACGGGUGAGUAACACGUGGGAACCUUCCUAGGGGUACGGAACAACUCAGGGAAACUUGAGCUAAUACCGUAUACGUCCGUAAGGAGAAAGAUUCAUCGCCCCUAGACGGGCCCGCGUCGGAUUAGUAGUUGGUGGGGUAACGGCCUACCAAGCCUACGAUCCGUAGCUGAUCUGAGAGGAUGAUCAGCCACACUGGGACGUGAGACACGGCCCAGACUCCUACGGGAGGCAGCAGUGGGGAAGUCUUGGACAAUGGGCGCAAGCCUGAUCCAGCCAUGCCGCGUGAGUGAAGAA
Molecule: ribosomal RNA, 359 nt
Filed under: uncultured bacterium
Lineage: Bacteria
Description: bacterial SSU rRNA
Rfam family: Bacterial small subunit ribosomal RNA
Source: RNAcentral